GCGCUAGCUUUGGCAGCACAUAUACUAAAAUUG
Molecule: small nuclear RNA, 33 nt
Filed under: Cervus elaphus hippelaphus
Lineage: Eukaryota; Metazoa; Chordata; Mammalia; Artiodactyla; Cervidae
Source: RNAcentral